CCUACGGGAGGCAGCAGUGGGGAAUUUUGGACAAUGGGCGCAAGCCUGAUCCAGCAAUGCCGCGUGCAGGAUGAAGGCCUUCGGGUUGUAAACUGCUUUUGUACGGAACGAAACGGUCUGCCCUAAUACGGUGGGCUAAUGACGGUACCGUAAGAAUAAGCACCGGCUAACUACGUGCCAGCAGCCGCGGUAAUACGUAGGGUGCGAGCGUUAAUCGGAAUUACUGGGCGUAAAGCGUGCGCAGGCGGUUAUGUAAGACAGAUGUGAAAUCCCCGGGCUCAACCUGGGACCUGCAUUUGUGACUGCAUAGCUAGAGUACGGUAGAGGGGGAUGGAAUUCCGCGUGUAGCAGUGAAAUGCGUAGAUAUGCGGAGGAACACCGAUGGCGAAGGCAAUCCCCUGGACCUGUACUGACGCUCAUGCACGAAAGCGUGGGGAGGCAAACAGGAUUAGAUACCCUGGUAGUCCACGCCCUAAACGAUGUCAACUGGUUGUUGGGUCUUCACUGACUCAGUAACGAAGCUAACGCGUGAAGUUGACCGCCUGGGGAGUACGGCCGCAAGGUUGAAACUCAAAUGAAUUGAGG
This 585-nucleotide ribosomal RNA is filed under the name uncultured bacterium. Its description in RNAcentral is "bacterial SSU rRNA". It matches the Rfam family "Bacterial small subunit ribosomal RNA", at positions 338 to 915 of the family's 1533-position model. The record is from RNAcentral.